Ictalurus furcatus (blue catfish) is the source of this 898-nucleotide RNA transcript. It is a transcript of the gene named transmembrane protein 107, with no coding region annotated. The record is from RefSeq and is a predicted model, not a curated record. NCBI's taxonomy places the organism in Eukaryota, Metazoa, Chordata, Actinopteri, Siluriformes, Ictaluridae. The transcript is spliced from 7 exons.
GUGAUCACAUUAACCACAGCAACCACGAGGAAAAUAGCGUUGCUGUAGUAACGGGUAGGAGAGACGCUUUCGGCUAACUCUUUUGCUAAAUACUCUGUUUAAAUAUGACUGUGUGAAGUGAAUGUGAAAAGUUGCAUAUAUGACAUGGCUACGUGAAUAACUGAAGAGCAAACUAACCGUUAUUCUCCUCUACUGCAAUCUAACUUGAGUGACCCUGUUGACUUUUUCUGGACAUGUCCGUGAUAAACAGCCUCGUCCCAGCUCGGUUUCUCAUCCUCACUGCUCACCUAGUGAUAGUCAUCAACAUCUUCUGGUCCCGGGGAAACAAUGUUCAAUCGUGCUUACCGCUGGACUUCACAGAGGAGCAGUACACGACCGAGGACAACUGGUUGAUUAUUGCUCUAUCAGUAACUCUGUGUUUAUUUGCCAUUGAAUUGUUUGGAUUCUUCUCCGGCGUCUCGAUGUUCAACAGUAACCAAGGAGUGCUGUCCAUGGUGUGUCACUGCAGCGCAUCUGUCUCUUUGUCUUUUUUCAUCAUCCAGCAAUGGGAAUGCUGGGUUUACUGGAUAAUCUUCGCAUUUUGCAGUGAGCAGCAGUGAAGCGGGAGUUUCAGCGUUGGGUCUGAAUGAGGUCAAUGAUGAAGUAGAAAUGCUUUUAUUUGUGUGUCAUUCCUGCCCUGUGCGAGCUGGUACUGAUCAUAGCUGUGUUCGGACUGAAAAAGAAGCCGAUGUGAAGGUUUAAAUAUGUGUCCUGUCCCUCAGUAUGACGUCCACAUUAGUAGAACAAAUCUACUGUAUCUGUAACUUUAUAAUGAGCCAUGCAACAUCAGCAUUGGUGGAUCCUCCAGGUCAGAUUUUGACUUCUCAUCCAGAUUAAAUGUGACACAUUUGAACAUAAA